AGCAGCCGCGGUAAUUCCAGCUCCAAUAGCGUAUAUUAAAGUUGUUGCAGUUAAAAAGCUCGUAGUUGAAUUUCGGGGUCAGUAGGUUGGUCAUGCCACUGGUAUGUACUGGCCUCACUGAUUCCUCCUUCCUGAUGAGCCGUAAUGCCAUUAAUUUGGUGUUGCGAGGAAUCUGGACUGUUACUUUGAAAAAAUUAGAGUGUUUAAAGCAGGCUAACGCUUGAAUACAUUAGCAUGGAAUAAUGAAAUAGGACGUUCGAUCUUAUUUUGUUGGUUUCUAAGAUUGACGUAAUGAUUAAUAGGGAUAGUUGGGGCAUUAGUAUUCAAUUGUCAGAGGUGAAAUUCUUGGAUUAUUGAAGACUAACUACUGCGAAAGCAUUUGCCAAGGAUGUUUUCAUUAAUCAAGAACGAAGUUAGGGAUCGAAGACGAUCAGAUACCGUCGUAGUCUUAACCAUAAACUAUGCCGACUAGGGAUCGGAUGAUGUUAA
Molecule: ribosomal RNA, 489 nt
Filed under: uncultured fungus
Lineage: Eukaryota; Fungi
Description: SSU rRNA
Rfam family: Eukaryotic small subunit ribosomal RNA
Source: RNAcentral